This 2909-nucleotide long non-coding RNA is filed under the name Strigops habroptila (Kakapo). RNAcentral's name for it is "lncRNA (ENSSHBG00005009790.1)". The record is from RNAcentral. Lineage: Eukaryota; Metazoa; Chordata; Aves; Psittaciformes; Psittacidae.
UUCCUGAGCUGACAGACUAGGAUUUCUCAUGCCAACAGAUCACUCUGUUCUCUCGGGAUCUAUAAGAUACUUCUUGGUUUUGAUAGAUGGCCUGAAGGCAUGCAGGUGGUGCAGCUUGGUACUGCUUUAGCAAUCCUUUUUGCUUGGGGAAUAUCCUACUUAGGAGUUUAAUAUAGAAAUAGACCUGCAUGGUGAGGCUGGGGAACUAACAGACAUUUUGGUAGGAUCCCAAAGAAAAGGGUCCCUGGAAAAGACUGCAGUUACUUUUAUCUAGCAGAGGUUCCAUGACACAAGAUGAGCCAUCUAAUAGUUUGUCAGUACCAGAAACAGCAUGUCCAAUCUUGGCCAGAAGUUCACAACUCCUUCUGUGGCACUGGCAGUGGCUUUUGACAAACGUGUUUUACUAACAGAAAACCAACAUGACCACAAGAUGUGAUAUGUUACCUGCCAAAAAAAAUUAAUUGAGUGAGGUCACUCAAGGGACAAGAUUGCCUUUUUCAGCGGCAGCAGCAGCCGCUGCUUUGUCCAGCAGUUUUGCUUCAGCAGGUUGAAGUGUGUGUGUGCACAUAAGGGAUGCCUCUAACUGGAGAGGUCUCUGGCCUCCUUUGAUCAAGGGAUCGAGCAGACUUUCUCAGCGUUGUGUGAAUAUUAAUGGUUGAGGCUCCCUCCCCAUCUUGCCUUUACUCUUGCAGUUCUCCCAGGUUGUUUAACUCUUGAUAACCAGAUGUAGCUGCCUUCCUGCCUGUGGCUACCCUCUAAUAAGCUGUUUUUCACAGGUUUCGUUACACUGUAGGGAUUUGGUCACUCGGUAUCUCUUGGCAGUAGUGCAAAAAGCUAAAUACAUACCUUAUAAAAAUGUACCUUGAGAAAGCGAUGACAGCUGUACAUCAGGAAGUGAUUUUCUGUCUGACUGAACCAAAACUUCUAGGAAACCCAGAGACCUUACAUUCAUGUGAAUGAACUGUAGGGUGUUUUGGGUUUUGGUUUGUUUUCUUUCCAGACACUAGAUUUUAGGAGGAAUAUUUACUAGAAAUUUUAUGGAGGUUGUUUCUCAUUUAGCAUAUGCAUAUUACUGUUGAGUAAUACUUGUAGGACAUCACUGCAGUUGCUUUAUUUUAAACUCCAACCAGCAAGACUUACAGUUUCUGUGAAGGUACAGAACGUUGGCAAAGCUUUGCUGAGUUUUUUUUCUCUUUCCUCCCUGAAAAAGGUGAGUCUUGCUGUGCACUGUGGUGCUGUGUGCGUACACAAGCAGUUGGGUUUGUGUGCAUUGUCUUAAAAAAUGUGACUAAUAAAAUACCUGAAAUAGUGUUAAUUUUACAGUUGAUUCCUGUAAUGCUACGGAAAUCACUGCAUCGUUUUUAAUCCCCGAGCAUUAUCAUAACUAACCUGGCUAUUACCUAAUUGUCGUAGUAGGUAGCCUUUGGAAUGAUGAAUACGAGUGUGUGAAGUUAAUACUUUGUGAGAAUGAAUGGAAGCAAUUCACACCUCUGCUGGAGCUCCAUUAUUACAUUUUGGCUGCGAAGCAGAAAGGAUAGUAGCACAGGGGGUUAUAGAAUGUCAUUUAUCUUUCAACUGAAAGAGUUAGAAAUAUGGCUACUUUUAAGUUUCUAACUUAAAAUAUGGAGAGAGGGAAAGGGGCAGAAAGGAAAAGAACAACAAUUUCCAGAAUAAGAAGAAGGUAUGAGUGCUUUCCACAAUGAAAAAGCAGAGGUAGGACUUUGGGUUUAUCCUUCACGUCUCCCACAGGCCGUUGUUCGCUGUGUCUGUGUAAGGGUUUCACUACAUUUGUGCACUUGUGUGCAUUUUUUGAGCACAAAAUGGCUCACUCAUAUGCCAAUAAAUAGAUUUUUAUUUACUCUUGUGUACAGGUUUGAGGUUUUUUUAAUUCAGAAUUUCCAGAUUUAUAAAUUUCAGUGGUUCUGCUUUAUUACCUGUAGUUAGCAUUUUCUAACCUUCUUUGCUGAAGACUUGACAGGGAUGAAUGAAGGGGCCUGCCGUUUUUCUGAACUCAUUGGGAAAGGUUGCCUUUCCCCAGCUGACCAAGAACAACAGAGAUGGGAAACAAAUUGGUUGCCUUUGGUUUGUUUUCUUUCUCCUAUUUCAUUCCUGGUCUAUUGAAGGCUGCUCAAAUUUCAGAUGGACUGUGGUAAGCUGGGUGGGUGUGGAGAGUGUCUUUUGUAAACAGCAUUGUAGGAACCAGUACUGCAAAACAAAAGCACUCUACACCCCUUUGUUUUGUGGCAGAUGCUCAUGUUUUAUUCCCAUGUUUCUAAGCAGUUUGUAUCUUAAUAUGUUGAUUUUCAUGGCAAUGUUUGUUUAAAAUUCUUUCUUGUGUCCCUGUAUAGUGAAAAUUGAGACACUGUGAAACUGUCUCAUCCUCUCUCUGUCCCUCCUUUCACCUUGCCCUUCAGUUUCUAUUAACACCAGUUAAUGACACUAGGCAGGAAUAUGCCAUUCCUGUACCAUUGCUUGUUUUAGACCUCCUUUCCUGAUUAAACCUAAUUUAACACUUUACCUGAAAUUGUUGGUUUACAGUUGACUUCCACAUUGAAAGUGUUAAUUGCAGUUAGUCUGCACACUGAGAAGCCUCUGGACAUGUUUACUCCUACUUCCUGAUGACUGCCGGUGGGAGAGAUUUUUAGUAUUACAAAAGUGCUGCCUUAUUUCUACAGUUCGUGGUGGUGGUUUUUGGUAUUUGUGUUUCAGUAGUGAUCAUCCAAUCACACUUCAUGUGGCAUUGGAAUUCUUGAAUUAAUAACUCUAUGUAUGUAGCAAUUGCUUGGCUCAUGUCAAACCUGUAUAUUGUACAACAGAUGUCCUCUUUCGACUUCGCCCUUCUUCAGAUUCCCUGUGGAACAGCCAGGGCAUGUUCCAAAAACCCUAGAAAAUAAAGAACAGUAUUUGUG